RNAcentral lists this ribosomal RNA (408 nucleotides) under uncultured bacterium. RNAcentral's name for it is "partial 16S ribosomal RNA". It matches the Rfam family "Bacterial small subunit ribosomal RNA", at positions 28 to 526 of the family's 1533-position model. The record is from RNAcentral.
GACGAACGCUGGCGGCGUGCUUAACACAUGCAAGUCGAACGGAGUGGCGAACGGGUGAGUAACACGUGGGUGAUCUGCCUUGCUCUUCGGGCUACGCUUGGGAAACUGGGUCUAAUACCGGAUAGUGCAAGAUGAGCUCGCUGCCUAUCAGCUUGUUGGUGGGGUAAUUGCCUACCAAGGCGUCGACGGGUAGCCGGCCUGAGAGGGUGUCCGGCAACAUAGGGACUGAGAGACGGCCCAGACUCGUACGAGAGGCAGCAGUGGGGAAGAUUGCACAAUGGGCGGAAGCCUGAUGCAGCGACGCCGCGUGGGGGAUGAAGGCCUUCGGGUUGUAAACUCCUUUCGACAGGGACGCGGUACCUGUAUAAGAAGCACCGGCUAACUACGUGCCAGCAGCCGCGGUAAUUC